GAUGAACGCUGGCGGCGUGCCUAAUACAUGCAAGUCGAGCGAACAGAUGAGGAGCUUGCUCCUCUGACGUUAGCGGCGGACGGGCGAGUAACACGUGGAGAACCUACCUAUAAGACUGGGAUAACUUCGGGAAACCGGAGCUAAUACCGGAUAAUAUAUUGAACCGCAUGGUUCAAUAGUGAAAGACGGUGUUGCUGUCACUUAUAGAUGGAUCCGCGCCGCAUUAGCUAGUUGGUAAGGUAACGGCUUACCAAGGCAACGAUGCGUAGCCGACCUGAGAGGGUGGUCCGCCACACUGGAACUGAGACACGGUCCAGACUCCUACGGGAGGCAGCAGUAGGGAAUCUUCCGCGAUGGGCGAGUGCCUGACGGAGCAACGCCGCGUGAGUGAUGAAGGUCUUCGGAUCGUAAAACUCUGUUAUUAGGGAAGAACAAAUGUGUAAGUAACUAUGCACGUCUUGACGGUACCUAAUCAGAAAGCCACGGCUAACUACGUG
RNAcentral lists this ribosomal RNA (497 nucleotides) under uncultured bacterium. RNAcentral's name for it is "partial 16S ribosomal RNA". It matches the Rfam family "Bacterial small subunit ribosomal RNA", at positions 28 to 507 of the family's 1533-position model. The record is from RNAcentral.